RNAcentral lists this ribosomal RNA (169 nucleotides) under uncultured Paracoccus sp. RNAcentral describes it as "partial 16S ribosomal RNA". It matches the Rfam family "Bacterial small subunit ribosomal RNA", at positions 338 to 524 of the family's 1533-position model. The record is from RNAcentral. Lineage: Bacteria; Pseudomonadati; Pseudomonadota; Alphaproteobacteria; Rhodobacterales; Paracoccaceae.
CCUACGGGAGGCAGCAGUGGGGAAUCUUAGACAAUGGGGGCAACCCUGAUCUAGCCAUGCCGCGUGAGUGAUGAAGGCCCUAGGGUUGUAGGGCUCUUUCAGCUGGGAAGAUAAUGACGGUACCAGCAGAAGAAGCCCCGGCUAACUCCGUGCCAGCAGCCGCGGUAAU